RNAcentral lists this unclassified non-coding RNA (400 nucleotides) under soil metagenome. RNAcentral describes it as "partial contains 5.8S ribosomal RNA, internal transcribed spacer 2, and large subunit ribosomal RNA". The stretch from base 1 to 122 matches the Rfam family "5.8S ribosomal RNA", at positions 35 to 154 of the family's 154-position model. The record is from RNAcentral.
GAUGAAGAACGUAGCGAAAUGCGAUACUUGGUGUGAAUUGCAGAAUCCCGUGAACCAUCGAGUCUUUGAACGCAAGUUGCGCCUCAAGCCAUUAGGUUGAGGGCACGUCUGCCUGGGCGUCACAUAUCGUUGCCUGAUGCCAGUUUCCUCGUGAUGGGUGACUGUGCAGGGCGAAUGAUGGCUUCCCGUGAGCAUUGUUGCCUCAUGGUUGGUUGAAAAUUGAGUCCUUGGUAGGGAGCGCCGUGAUAGAUGGUGGUUGAGUGACGAACGAGACCCAAUCAUGUGAGACCCCUACCGAAUUUGGCCUUCAUGACCCACAUGCGUCUUUGGAACGCUCAUGACGAGACCUCAGGUCAGGCGGGGCUACCCGCUGAGGUUAAGCAUAUCAAUAAGCGGAGGA